AUUGAACGCUGGCGGCAUGCCUUACACAUGCAAGUCGAACGGUAGAAGGAGCAAUCCUUCGAGAGUGGCGAACGGGUGAGUAAUACAUCGGAACGUACCUGGUAGUGGGGGAUAGCCCGGCGAAAGCCGGAUUAAUACCGCAUAAGACCUGAGGGUGAAAGCGGGGGACCGUAAGGCCUCGCGCUACCGGAGCGGCCGAUGUCAGAUUAGCUAGUUGGUGGGGUAAAAGCCUACCAAGGCGACGAUCUGUAGCUGGUCUGAGAGGACGACCAGCCACACUGGGACUGAGACACGGCCCAGACUCCUACGGGAGGCAGCAGUGGGGAAUUUUGGACAAUGGGCGCAAGCCUGAUCCAGCCAUGCCGCGUGCGGGAAGAAGGCCU
RNAcentral lists this ribosomal RNA (383 nucleotides) under uncultured bacterium. RNAcentral describes it as "bacterial SSU rRNA". It matches the Rfam family "Bacterial small subunit ribosomal RNA", at positions 29 to 417 of the family's 1533-position model. The record is from RNAcentral.